RNAcentral lists this ribosomal RNA (187 nucleotides) under Escherichia coli. RNAcentral's name for it is "partial 23S ribosomal RNA". It matches the Rfam family "Bacterial large subunit ribosomal RNA", at positions 2756 to 2925 of the family's 2925-position model. RNAcentral also lists the same sequence under 2 other names. The record is from RNAcentral. Lineage: Bacteria; Pseudomonadati; Pseudomonadota; Gammaproteobacteria; Enterobacterales; Enterobacteriaceae.
CGGAAGAGAUAAGUGCUGAAAGCAUCUAAGCACGAAACUUGCCCCGAGAUGAGUUCUCCCUGAGACUUUAAGUCUCCUGAAGGAACGUUGAAGACGACGACGUUGAUAGGCCGGGUGUGUAAGCGCAGCGAUGCGUUGAGCUAACCGGUACUAAUGAACCGUGAGGCUUAACCUUACAACGCCGAAG